This 573-nucleotide ribosomal RNA is filed under the name Salmonella enterica subsp. enterica serovar Enteritidis. Its description in RNAcentral is "partial 23S ribosomal RNA". It matches the Rfam family "Bacterial large subunit ribosomal RNA", at positions 711 to 1280 of the family's 2925-position model. The record is from RNAcentral. Lineage: Bacteria; Pseudomonadati; Pseudomonadota; Gammaproteobacteria; Enterobacterales; Enterobacteriaceae.
AGACCCGAAACCCGGUGAUCUAGCCAUGGGCAGGUUGAAGGUUGGGUAACACUAACUGGAGGACCGAACCGACUAAUGUUGAAAAAUUAGCGGAUGACCUGUGGCUGGGGGUGAAAGGCCAAUCAAACCGGGAGAUAGCUGGUUCUCCCCGAAAGCUAUUUAGGUAGCGCCUCGUGAAUUCAUCUCCGGGGGUAGAGCACUGUUUCGGCUAGGGGGCCAUCCCGGCUUACCAACCCGAUGCAAACUGCGAAUACCGGAGAAUGUUAUCACGGGAGACACACGGCGGGUGCUAACGUCCGUCGUGAAGAGGGAAACAACCCAGACCGCCAGCUAAGGUCCCAAAGUCAUGGUUAAGUGGGAAACGAUGUGGGAAGGCCCAGACAGCCAGGAUGUUGGCUUAGAAGCAGCCAUCAUUUAAAGAAAGCGUAAUAGCUCACUGGUCGAGUCGGCCUGCGCGGAAGAUGUAACGGGGCUAAACCAUGCACCGAAGCUGCGGCAGCGACGCUUAUGCGUUGUUGGGUAGGGGAGCGUUCUGUAAGCCUGCGAAGGUGGCCUGUGAGGGUUGCUGGAGGU